GACGAAUGCUGGCUGCGUGCUUAACACAUGCAAGUCGAACGGUGAAGGGGAGCUUGCUCCCCGGAUCAGUGGCGAACGGGUGAGUAACACGUGGGCAACCUGCCCCUCACUCUGGGAUAACUCCGGGAAACCGGGGCUAAUACCGGAUACGACCGGGAGCGACAUCGCUCCUGGUGGACAGAACUGCGGUGAGGGAUGGGCCCGCGGCCUCUCAGCUAGUUGGUGGGGUAACGGCCCACCAAGGCGACGACGGGUAGCCGGCCGGCGAGGGCGACCGGCCACACUGGGACUGAGACACGGCCCAGACUCCUACGGGAGGCAGCAGUGGGGAAUAUUGCGCAAUGGGCGAAAGCCUGACGCAGCGACGCAGCGUGAGGGACGAAGGCCUUCGGGUUGUAAACCUCUUUCAGCGGGGACGAAGCGAAAGUGACGGUACCCGCAGAAGAAGCACCGGCUAACUACGUGCCAGCAGCCGCCGUAA
Molecule: ribosomal RNA, 481 nt
Filed under: uncultured bacterium
Lineage: Bacteria
Description: partial 16S ribosomal RNA
Rfam family: Bacterial small subunit ribosomal RNA
Source: RNAcentral